AUAAAUGUAAUCUGAUGACAGAAGCAAAGAGAGAGGAGCAAGACACGAGAAAAUGCUAUGCUGCAAUAUUUAAAGGGAUUUGAAAUCCUAUAAACUCUACAGCAAUGUUAUCAUCCUCUUAUUGAGGAAAGAGGAAAUGUUAUGGUAUUAUGGCCAUAGUCCUGGAUGAGAAAUCAGUAGAAAUCUGCUCUGGUCCUGCUUCUAAAUGAUUGUGCUACUUUGAGAAAGUCAUCUAACAUCAGU
This 243-nucleotide long non-coding RNA is filed under the name Homo sapiens (human). RNAcentral describes it as "HSALNT0202304". Lineage: Eukaryota; Metazoa; Chordata; Mammalia; Primates; Hominidae. The record is from RNAcentral.